RNAcentral lists this ribosomal RNA (529 nucleotides) under uncultured Cortinarius. RNAcentral describes it as "eukaryotic LSU rRNA". The stretch from base 139 to 292 matches the Rfam family "5.8S ribosomal RNA". Lineage: Eukaryota; Fungi; Basidiomycota; Agaricomycetes; Agaricales; Cortinariaceae. The record is from RNAcentral.
CUCUCUAGGGGAGCAUGUGCACACCUUGUCAUCUUUAUAUCUCCACCUGUGCACCUUUUGUAGACCCUCUCCAGGUCUAUGUUGCUUUAUUUUACCCCAAUGUAUGUUAAAAGAAUGUUGUGCUUAUAAAAUCAAUACAACUUUCAGCAACGGAUCUCUUGGCUCUCGCAUCGAUGAAGAACGCAGCGAAAUGCGAUAAGUAAUGUGAAUUGCAGAAUUCAGUGAAUCAUCGAAUCUUUGAACGCACCUUGCGCUCCUUGGUAUUCCGAGGAGCAUGCCUGUUUGAGUGCAUUAAUAUAUAUAUCAACCAUUCUCAUUGUUGAGUGGUUGGAUGUGGGGGUUGCUGGCCUCUUGAAUGAUUCAGCUCCCCUGAAUUCAUUAGCAGAGNGACCCUGUUCAUUGGUGUGAUAACUAUCUACGCUAUUGAAUGUGAGGGGCAGUUCAGCUUUCUAACAGUCUUUGGACAAUUUAUCAUUUAUGUGACCUCAAAUCAGGUAGGACUACCCGCUGAACUUAAGCAUAUCAAUAA